CGGUCCAGACUCCUACGGGAGGCAGCAGUGAGGAAUAUUGGUCAAUGGGCGAGAGCCUGAACCAGCCAAGUAGCGUGCAGGAUGACGGCCCUAUGGGUUGUAAACUGCUUUUAUGCGGGGAUAAAGUGCUCCACGUGUGGGGCAUUGCAGGUACCGCACGGAUAAGGACCGGCUAAUUCCGUGCCAGCAGCCGCGGUAA
Molecule: ribosomal RNA, 199 nt
Filed under: uncultured bacterium
Lineage: Bacteria
Description: partial 16S ribosomal RNA
Rfam family: Bacterial small subunit ribosomal RNA
Source: RNAcentral